ACUUACAGUCAGACGUUUUGUAAAUGUCGGAGCUGGACCACGAGAGAGUCCUGGACUGAUGGCUCCAGCACACGAUCACUUAGCCACAGGCUGGAGUUGUUAUGCGCAGCACCUUGGCUUGCUUUCCCUAAGCACACCUCAAAUUGAAAGGGAGGUAAAGCCUCAUCAGUGAAACAGGCAAAUGCUGGGGUAGUGAGUCAUCUCCAGCUCUGAGAAGGGGAAAUGCCUAGAGCAAGGGCUACAGCCUUAACAGCCCCACCAGUUCCCAGUUCCAAUAUUGUUUCCUGGAAUGAACUUUUACAACCAGGAAGAAGCUAUUUAAAACCUUCAUUACGAUACUUUAGCAUCUCACCAUGAAGGAUAUUUAAAAGCAAAAUGACCUGAAGCAGGUGUGAGUAAUCUGUGGAUAGAACAGAGCUCUGCUCCAGGCGCAAGCACUGCUGUAGGUAAAGUGCUGAAGAAGAGGAAGACUACAGGCUAUUUAUCCAUGGCGGCAGCACAGCUUGGGGCAAGGCAGAGCUAAGACGACCCCUCUGUCUUUGUGAAGAUGCCAGAGGAAACCACCAAAGAGUUUCAAGCAAAAACCAAGCUGUUCAUCUUAUCAGGAGAAUCUGGGGAAGAAUCUGAUUCCAAAUUCAUUCAGGGUUUUGCCGAUUUGGAUCCUGGGCGUGGACCUAGCACCACUCAUCAAGCCAUGCUGAGGCAUCAUCCCACGUAGCAGAAACAGAAGGACCUACAACUAGAAAUAUUUCUUCUUCACAGAGAGAUUAUUUCUUGAUCUUCAUGGUGGAUGUUUCUGGAUUUCAGGCCAUUCCUCUCCCCACCAAUG
This 829-nucleotide long non-coding RNA is filed under the name Equus caballus (horse). RNAcentral describes it as "lncRNA (ENSECAG00000055252.1)". Lineage: Eukaryota; Metazoa; Chordata; Mammalia; Perissodactyla; Equidae. The record is from RNAcentral.